Molecule: ribosomal RNA, 252 nt
Filed under: uncultured bacterium
Lineage: Bacteria
Description: partial 16S ribosomal RNA
Rfam family: Bacterial small subunit ribosomal RNA
Source: RNAcentral
UACGUAGGGUGCGAGCGUUAUCCGGAUUUACUGGGCAUAAAGAGCAUGUAGGCGGUUGCUUAAGUCAGAUGUAAAAUCCCUUGGCUUAACUGAGGUAUGCAUUUGAAACUGAGCUUCUGGAGAUUGGUAGAGGAAAGCGGAACUCACGGUGUAGCGGUGAAAUGCGUAGAUAUCGUGAGGAACACCAGUUGCGAAGGCGGCUUUCUGGACCAAAUCUGACGCUGAGAUGCGAAAGCGUGGGGAGCAAACGGG